GGCAGCCGCCGCGGGUAACACCGGCGGCCCGAGUGGUGAUCGUGAUUAUUGGGUCUAAAGGGUCCGUAGCCGGUUUGGUCAGUCCUCCGGGAAAUCUGAUAGCUCAACUAUUAGGCUUUCGGGGGAUACUGCCAGACUUGGAACCGGGAGAGGUAAGAGGUACUACAGGGGUAGGAGUGAAAUCUUGUAAUCCCUGUGGGACCACCUGUGGCGAAGGCGUCUUACCAGAACGGGUUCGACGGUGAGGGACGAAAGCUGGGGGCACGAACCGGAUUAGAUACCCGGGUAGUCCCAGCCGUAAACGAUGCUCGCUAGGUGUCAGGCAUGGCGCGACCGUGUCUGGUGCCGCAGGGAAGCCGUGAAGCGAGCCACCUGGGAAGUACGGCCGCAAGACUGAAACUUAAAGGAAUUGGCGGGGGAGCACAACAACGGGUGGAAGCCUGCGGUUUAAUUGGACUCAACGCCGGACAACUCACCGGGGGCGACAGCAAUAUGUAGGCCAAGCUGAAGACUUUGCCUGAAUCGCUGAGGGGUGGUGCAUGG
RNAcentral lists this ribosomal RNA (543 nucleotides) under uncultured archaeon. Its description in RNAcentral is "bacterial SSU rRNA". It matches the Rfam family "Archaeal small subunit ribosomal RNA", at positions 457 to 997 of the family's 1478-position model. The record is from RNAcentral.